RNA transcript from Pistacia vera, 3067 nucleotides. RefSeq lists it as uncharacterized. NCBI's taxonomy places the organism in Eukaryota, Viridiplantae, Streptophyta, Magnoliopsida, Sapindales, Anacardiaceae. The transcript has 22 exons. The record is from RefSeq and is a predicted model, not a curated record.
GUAGCAAUGGAUGACUAAAUUACAUCAUGCACUGAAGAAAGCUUGAUUGAGGAACUUGUAAGCAAAAACAAAAUUUACAAGAUGAAACAAUUGCUCAAACCCUGCUCUUCACAUUUACUUGUGUAGCAUUUUGCGCUAUGGAAGAUAAUGGGUGUUAGAAGUGUAGUCAGAAGAACUUAGUUAAUGAGAGGCGAGUUUAAGAUGUCAUAAAUUGUUACCUAUAUUAAGACAUUACUUCUGUUUGAACUUAUUAAAACCAGGGAUCAAAUUUGAUCAACAAAACUUUGUAUCAUGCUGGAAAACAGUGACAGGCCAGGAAAUAUCUUAUGUAUCCGUGCUUCUUGGAGGUCAUAAUUCCACUUUUCAUACAUCAAUUUUCUGCAUUUCACCUUAUCAAGGAGAGAAGGAAUUAAUGGCUUUAGAAGAGUAGUCGAAAGAACUGAAUUAGUGGAGGCCAUAGAAAUGCAGAACCAGUUUAUCUCAUUUAUGGAAGAAGAAACUUUGUUGAGGGACUUGUAAAAAGAGAUAAUUUGCAAGAUGAAACAAGAGCUCAAUCCUAUUCUUAACAUUUUCCUGCAUUUUCCAAAACCAAACCCAGGGAAACUUUGAAGAGAGGAAGAAUGAGUUUUGUAGAGUAGCAGAAAGAACUCAAGAACUCGAUUAAUGAAGAAAACUUGAUUGAGGCACUUGUAAGCAAAGAGAAAAUCUACCAUAUGAAACCAGUGCUCAAUCCUUUGUCUACAUAUUUGCUUGCUUCAGAAUUUGUGCCUUAGAACAAAUAAGGAAGAGGAUGGACAAAUAUAGGAGAUUAUGUACUCAAAAGGACUCAAGUGAAGCUUCUCAAAUUACAGUGUCUAUGAAAUCCUUUGAUGAUUCAUUGUGAUAGAGAGGCAAGUUUAAGAUGUCAUGAAUUUCCUGAAGAAUCAAGGUUGACAAAUGAUGUCAUGAAUUUCAGCAAAACUUUCCUAUGUUAAGACAUUUGUUCGCUUUUAGCUAAUUGAAACCAGGCAUAAAAUUCCUUCCGCAAAACUUUUUGUCAUGCUGGAAAACAGUGACAGACCGGGAAAUAUCUUUUGUGUCUGUACGUCUUGAAGAUUUCAUCAAAAUUUAUUUUCUCAGUCCAGCAUUUCUCGUUAUCGAGGAGAGGAGGAAUUAAUGGCAUUAGAAGAGUGGUCCAUAGAACUCAAUUAGUGGAGUGAUCAUCAGAGUCAAUACUGGAGACUAUAGAACUGCAGGACCAAUUUAUCUCAUUUAAGGAAGCGCUUGUAAACAAAAAGAUGAUUUGCCAGAUGAAACAAGAGUUCAAUCCUGUUCUUAACAUUUCCCUGAGCAUUUUUCCAAAACCAAACUCCAGAACUUAGAAGAGAGGAAGAGUGGUUUUCAGAGAGUAGCCGAAAGAACUCUAUUAAUGGCCAUAGGAAUGGAGGGGAGAAUUACAUCAUUCACUGAAGAAAACUUGAUUGAGGCACUUGUAAGAAAACAGAAAAUUUAUCAGAUGAAACAAGUGUUCAAUCCCUGGCCUUCAACAUUCGCUUGCAUUUUGCAUUAUGGAAAAUGUGAAGAGUGGCAUUAGGAGAGUGGUUGAGAGAGCUCAGUCUCAGUUGAUGAGCUGAUUAAUUAGUUGUCUACCUAAGCUGAGAUUUUCCAAUUUCUGUAACUGAUUCGCUGAGGAAAUACACAAGGGAAAAGCAAUAAUUUUAGGACCAAUAAUAAUUAUCGUUCAAUGUCAGAAAUUGCCCUAUGAAACCAGUGCUACAUCUAUUGGAUUUCACAUUUUCUUGGUUCAUUAAAUAACUGUCAAUACCUUUCUCUUAUGCCAGGGAGCUUCUUCAGUUGCACUGAAUUCCCCAUAUGAAUUACUUCUAUGGUUCAUUGAGUAAAUUAUAUGACAGAUGUUGGUGGAAUGAGGUUGUUUUUGCAUUUCCUUUAUGGGCUUAAAAGUUAUUGAAUCAAGGCAUCAAAUUUCAUCUACGGAACUUUCUAUCAUCCUGUAAAUAUCUUCUAUGAGAGAUGUCCAUGCCUCUUAAAGUGUUUCGCUUUAUGGAAUAGAGGGAAAUGGCAUUGGUGAUAUUGAUAAGGGACUCUUUUUUUCGCUUAAUAUUUGCUUGUUUCAAAUUUCAUCAAAUUUUCGGGUUAUGGAAGAGAGGAAGAAUGUCGUGAGGAGAGUAGUCGAAAGAACUCAACUAAUGAACUGAAUACUAGCUGGGUUACCUAUGUUGAGAGUUUACAAUUAUGUGACAGUUCAAUGGCAAAAACUUCGUUGAGGCACUUGCUUGUGUGCUUUGCAACAAAUGAUCAUGGAAUGAUGAAUUUAUCGGGCUGGGGAAGUCAAACAUAAUUGUACAAGUUUGGUAGAUGAGAUAAAAUAUAAAUCAUUUUGAAGGUUAUUGUGACAAUACGACUAAAUUCAAUGGGAAGGUCUCAUCACCAAAUUAGCACGGUGAUUAUGGCUGAAGCAAUUGUUUCCAGUGUCCUGCAGCAACUCACUUCAAUCAUUGGUAAAGGGAUACAACAGGAGGUGAUUCUAGUCAUUGGUGCUGAAAAAGAAGUUAAAAAGCUUAGGAACAAUCUUCAAGCUGUGCUCAUUGAUGCAGAGGAAAGAAAAAGUGAAGGAGAGAAACGUCAGACUCUGGCUUCCCCUGCGGGCAUCUCAGGUUCCUUUGUUUUUAUCUUCGACGGAGUUGCAUUUCCAGUUGAAAUUUCAGUUGAUGUCGGUCCAGUGGUAGUUCUCAGCCACGUAUCAUAUAGGACAGUGGCCAGGACUUGAAACUGAAAAUACUGUAACAGCUACAGGUCCCAAACCCUUUUUAUUAAAAGUUGACGCCAUCAAAUCUGGCAACAAACGCCACCAUAAGAUAUUGUAAAGCAAAACAACAUUACAAAAGCUUUCUGCGUAAUUCUUACCAAGAACAAAUAAACUAUUGAGUAAUGAUAUAAGGAGUGGUCUGUACAUGAAUCAUUUAAUCAAAGACUCUAAGCUCUUGAUUGAUAGGAAGUCGCUUGAUUUACCCUUCUUUCAACAAUUUAUCAUUUGGGGUUACCACUUUUAUUUUUUGCCCGGAGUUGU